This 750-nucleotide ribosomal RNA is filed under the name uncultured marine microorganism. Its description in RNAcentral is "bacterial SSU rRNA". It matches the Rfam family "Bacterial small subunit ribosomal RNA", at positions 8 to 755 of the family's 1533-position model. The record is from RNAcentral.
AGAGUUUGAUCAUGGCUCAGAUUGAACGCUGGCGGCAGGCCUAACACAUGCAAGUCGAGCGGUAACAUUCCUAGCUUGCUAGAAGAUGACGAGCGGCGGACGGGUGAGUAAUGCUUGGGAAUAUGCCUUAGGGUGGGGGACAACAGUUGGAAACGACUGCUAAUACCGCAUAACGUCUACGGACCAAAGGGGGCUUCGGCUCUCGCCCUUAGAUUAGCCCAAGUGGGAUUAGCUAGUUGGUGAGGUAAUGGCUCACCAAGGCGACGAUCCCUAGCUGGUUUGAGAGGAUGAUCAGCCACACUGGAACUGAGACACGGUCCAGACUCCUACGGGAGGCAGCAGUGGGGAAUAUUGCACAAUGGGCGCAAGCCUGAUGCAGCCAUGCCGCGUGUGUGAAGAAGGCCUUAGGGUUGUAAAGCACUUUCAGUAAGGAGGAAAGGUUAGUAGUUAAUACCUGCUAGCUGUGACGUUACUUACAGAAGAAGCACCGGCUAACUCCGUGCCAGCAGCCGCGGUAAUACGGAGGGUGCGAGCGUUAAUCGGAAUUACUGGGCGUAAAGCGUACGCAGGCGGUUUGUUAAGCGAGAUGUGAAAGCCCCGGGCUCAACCUGGGAACUGCAUUUCGAACUGGCAAACUAGAGUAUGAUAGAGGGUGGUAGAAUUUCAGGUGUAGCGGUGAAAUGCGUAGAGAUCUGAAGGAAUACCGAUGGCGAAGGCAGCCACCUGGGUCAAUACUGACGCUCAUGUACG